RNAcentral lists this ribosomal RNA (278 nucleotides) under uncultured Streptococcus sp. RNAcentral describes it as "partial 16S ribosomal RNA". It matches the Rfam family "Bacterial small subunit ribosomal RNA", at positions 1102 to 1382 of the family's 1533-position model. The record is from RNAcentral. Lineage: Bacteria; Bacillati; Bacillota; Bacilli; Lactobacillales; Streptococcaceae.
CCCCUAUUGUUAGUUGCCAUCAUUCAGUUGGGCACUCUAGCGAGACUGCCGGUAAUAAACCGGAGGAAGUGGGGAUGACGUCAAAUCAUCAUGCCCCUUAUGACCUGGGCUACACACGUGCUACAAUGGUUGGUACAACGAGUUGCGAGUCGGUGACGGCGAGCUAAUCUCUUAAAGCCAAUCUCAGCUCGGAUUGUAGGCUGCAACUCGCCUACAUGAAGUCGGAAUCGCUAGUAAUCGCGGAUCAGCACGCCGCGGUGAAUACGUUCCCGGGCCUU